GACGAACGCUGGCGGCGUGCUUAACACAUGCAAGUCGAACGGAAAGGCCCUGCUUUUGUGGGGUGCUCGAGUGGCGAACGGGUGAGUAACACGUGAGUAACCUGCCCUUGACUUUGGGAUAACUUCAGGAAACUGGGGCUAAUACCGGAUAGGAGCUCCUGCUGCAUGGUGGGGGUUGGAAAGUUUCGGCGGUUGGGGAUGGACUCGCGGCUUAUCAGCUUGUUGGUGGGGUAGUGGCUUACCAAGGCUUUGACGGGUCGCCGGCCUGAGAGGGUGACCGACCACAUUGGGACUGAGAAACGGCCCAGACUCCUACGGGAGGCAGCAGUGGGGAAUAUUGCACAAUGGGCGGAAGCCUGAUGCAGCCACGCCGCGUGCGGGAUGACGGCCUUCGGGUUGUAAACCGAUUUCGCCUGUGACGAAGCGUGAGUGACGGUAAUGGGUAAAGAAGCACCGGCUAACUACGUG
Molecule: ribosomal RNA, 468 nt
Filed under: uncultured bacterium
Lineage: Bacteria
Description: partial 16S ribosomal RNA
Rfam family: Bacterial small subunit ribosomal RNA
Source: RNAcentral